UACGUAGGUGGCAAGCGUUGUCCGGAUUUACUGGGCGUAAAGAGCGCGCAGGCGGUCGAGUAAGUCGAAUGUGAAAGCCCCCGGCUUAACUGGGGAGGGUCAUUCGAUACUGUUCGACUUGAAGGCAGGAGAGGGCAGCAGAAUUCCCGGUGUAGUGGUGAAAUGCGCAGAUAUCAGGAGGAACACCGGUGGCGAAGGCGGAUCUCUGGGCCAUUACUGACGCUGAGGAGCGAAAGCGUGGGGAGCGAACAGG
RNAcentral lists this ribosomal RNA (253 nucleotides) under uncultured bacterium. RNAcentral describes it as "partial 16S ribosomal RNA". It matches the Rfam family "Bacterial small subunit ribosomal RNA", at positions 524 to 776 of the family's 1533-position model. The record is from RNAcentral.